UCUCCGUUGGUGAACCAGCGGAGGGAUCAUUAUAGAGUUUUCUAAACUCCCAACCCAUGUGAACUUACCAUUGUUGCCUCGGCAGAAGCUACCCUGUGGCGUCUUACCCGGGAACGGCCUACCCUGUAGCGCCUUACCCUGGAACGACCUACCCUGUAGCGGCUGCCGGUGGACUACUCAACUCUUGUUAUUUUAUGGUUAUCUGAGCGUCUUAUUUUAAUAAGUCAAAACUUUCAACAACGGAUCUCUUGGUUCUGGCAUCGAUGAAGAACGCAGC
RNAcentral lists this unclassified non-coding RNA (277 nucleotides) under uncultured fungus. Its description in RNAcentral is "sequence contains ITS1, 5.8S rRNA gene". The stretch from base 229 to 277 matches the Rfam family "5.8S ribosomal RNA", at positions 1 to 49 of the family's 154-position model. Lineage: Eukaryota; Fungi. The record is from RNAcentral.